Molecule: unclassified non-coding RNA, 249 nt
Filed under: uncultured fungus
Lineage: Eukaryota; Fungi
Description: sequence contains ITS1
Rfam family: 5.8S ribosomal RNA (bases 1-101)
Source: RNAcentral
UUCGUGCGAUAGCUAAUGUGACAUGCAGACGCGGAUCAUUGAGACUUUGAACGCAAGAUGCGCAGGGAGAGAGAUCUUCCUGCAUGACUGUUUGGGCGGUGGAAUGUUGAAAGUUGGGUGGACAUUUGGAUGACACCUGAAAGAUGAUCUCUGAGAGGAGUGCACUAGCAACUACACAGUAGUUAUUACACUCACACUCACACACACUACUACACCCCCAAAUCAGUCAAGACUACCCGCUGAACUUAA